This 497-nucleotide ribosomal RNA is filed under the name uncultured bacterium. Its description in RNAcentral is "partial 16S ribosomal RNA". It matches the Rfam family "Bacterial small subunit ribosomal RNA", at positions 28 to 507 of the family's 1533-position model. The record is from RNAcentral.
GAUGAACGCUGGCGGCGUGCCUAAUACAUGCAAGUCGAGCGAACAGACGAGGAGCUUGCUCCUCUGACGUUAGCGGCGGACGGGUGAGUAACACGUGGAUAACCUACCUAUAAGACUGGGAUAACUUCGGGAAACCGGAGCUAAUACCGGAUAAUAUAUUGAACCGCAUGGUUCAAUAGUGAAAGACGGUUUUGCUGUCACUUAUAGAUGGAUCCGCGCUGCAUUAGCUAGUUGGUGAGGUAACGGCUUACCAAGGCGACGAUGCGUAGCCGACCUGAGAGGGUGAUCGGCCACACUGGAACUGAGACACGGUCCAGACUCCUACGGGAGGCAGCAGUAGGGAAUCUUCCGCAAUGGGCGAAAGCCUGACGGAGCAACGCCGCGUGAGUGAUGAAGGUCUUCGGAUCGUAAAACUCUGUUAUUAGGGAAGAACAAAUGUGUAAGUAACUGUGCACGUCUUGACGGUACCUAAUCAGAAAGCCACGGCUAACUACGUG